RNAcentral lists this ribosomal RNA (660 nucleotides) under Orthasterias koehleri. RNAcentral describes it as "eukaryotic LSU rRNA". It matches the Rfam family "Eukaryotic large subunit ribosomal RNA", at positions 401 to 857 of the family's 3401-position model. Lineage: Eukaryota; Metazoa; Echinodermata; Asteroidea; Forcipulatida; Asteriidae. The record is from RNAcentral.
UAAACCGCUAAGAAGCAAACGGGUGGGCCCGCAAAGUGGCGCGGAAGAUUCAACGCGUUCGGGAGCACGUCCGUUUCUCUGCUGGAUCCGCAAGGACCGCUGGGUUGCGGAUUGUGCCUCCGUCGCGUGCACUUUUUCCGUGCGCAGAGCUGACGACCGGCUGGAGGUCCACGAGAAGGCCGAUCGGCAGGUUCCUCCCAUGGUCGUUCGCGGCCCGGGAGAGCUUAUAGCCGGUCUCCAACGGCUGGACGCCCGGUCGAGGAAGGGAAUCCGCGUCUGCCCCUAGUGGGCUGGGCCGCCUGUCUCCCGCGAGUUGCGUCGGAGCGGGACUGUUCUCAGUGUCGUUCUGGCCUAGCUUACGGCUGUGCAGGUCUGGUCUCAUCAGACGCUUAAGGUCAGUCAGCGAGGUCGGUAGCCCACCCGACCCGUCUUGAAACACGGACCAAGGAGUCUAACACGCCCGCAAGUCGUAGGGACUUUGAAGCCCGAAGGCGCAAUGAAAGUGAAGGCCAGUCCGUCUGGCCGAGGUGGGAUCCCGUUGCUCGGCGGCGGGCGCACCACUGCCCCGUCUCGAUCGCUCCUGUCGRCGAGGCGGAGGAGGAGCGUGUGCGUUAGGACCCGAAAGAUGGUGAACUAUGCCUGAGCAGGACGAAGCCAGAG